UUCAAUUCUAUACUGCGAGAUAAGUCUAGGAUGGGUGCAUUCAAACUGAUUUUAACUUGGAUUUAUGGCUUUUUUUUUACUUAGUUUAAUUUCAUUAAGGUAUAUUCAACAUUUGUCUAUGCAUCUUGGACCGAGUCAAAGUAUGAAGUGGAAAGAUAUCCUCAAAGGCGUUGUGAUUUAGACAAAUUUUAUGCAGAAAAGUGUUUUCGGGAUCACAUUAAGUCACUAUAUGACGUAAUUGUGUGGGCGACUUAUGACAGGUCGACCUUAAUUGUAUCUAUAUUUGUUAUCCGAUCUAAAAAUAUUGUCGACACUCCAGUGUGGUGCGCCUGCAUUCCAAGCUUUGUUAGUUGAGAUCAUAACUGCAAAAGCAAGUGAUCAAGUGAGUGCAGAUGGGAAGACUAUUCUUACUUCUUUGUCCAUUGUCUAAACAACUUUUAAAGUCUAUCCAGUCUAUCCUAGAUAUUCUAAGAUGCCGAGGAAAGAAAGAGUUAGCUUGUCGCACCAAUAUGCAGAAAAAAUGUAGCGAAUGGGAUCUGGCAUAAGGGAGGACAAGCUUAGUGCAGAUGCAAAGAAUAGAAGAUAUCAUGAUUACAGGAGGAUCAAGGAGACUACAUGGUCGGGCUUGGCUACAAGGAAAUCUCUGUCAUAUGGCUGCAAGCCUGCAACUACAUCAAUAUUUCCGAAGAAGUUCUUCAUCCACUACUUUAUUAUCUGGUUUCAAGUAAGCCUUAGUUUCCGUUUGAUACGAUAUAAACGUUCUUUGGAUAUAAGAGUAAAUUACUGCAACACUACAAGACAGCUAACCAGAUGGUUACACAUCAAUGUGAUAUUUCACUUUUCUCUGUUGUAUUUUGAAUAGUUGAAUCCAUGGGAUGCAUUAUUCAUCGUACAAUAUUAUUUUUUCACAUUUCCAUGACUACUAGUUCAAAAAAUUAAUGUGCCCUAGGAAGAAGGAUGUUCGGUCUUGGCGAUCUUUUAAUAUAUGGACAUGUGAUCUACUUUGCAUGCAUCUAUAGUGCUUUGCUUCAUAAGUUUAAAUGAUGGUUGCGUGCAUAAAUUCUUCUACUAAUGA
Papaver somniferum (opium poppy) is the source of this 1075-nucleotide long non-coding RNA. RefSeq lists it as uncharacterized. The record is from RefSeq and is a predicted model, not a curated record. The transcript is spliced from 3 exons. Lineage: Eukaryota; Viridiplantae; Streptophyta; Magnoliopsida; Ranunculales; Papaveraceae.